Molecule: ribosomal RNA, 761 nt
Filed under: uncultured bacterium
Lineage: Bacteria
Description: bacterial SSU rRNA
Rfam family: Bacterial small subunit ribosomal RNA
Source: RNAcentral
AUUGAACGCUGGCGGCAGGCUUAACACAUGCAAGUCGAACGGUAACAGGAAGAAAGCUUGCUUUCUUUGCUGACGAGUGGCGGACGGGUGAGUAAUGCUUGGGAAUCUGUUUCAUGGAGGGGGAUAACUACGGGAAACUGUAGCUAAUACCGCGUAAUAUCGAGAGAUUAAAUGUGUGGGACCGUAAGGCCACAUGCCAUGAAGUGAGCCCAAGUGGGAUUAGAUAGUUGGUGAGGUAAUGGCUCACCAAGUCAGCGAUCUCUAGCUGGUCUGAGAGGAUGACCAGCCACACUGGGACUGAGACACGGCCCAGACUCCUACGGGAGGCAGCAGUGGGGAAUAUUGCACAAUGGGCGCAAGCCUGAUGCAGCCAUGCCGCGUGAAUGAAGAAGGCCUUCGGGUUGUAAAGUUCUUUCGGUGGUGAGGAAGGUUGGCGUGUUAAUAGCACGUUGAUUUGACGUUAGCCACAGAAGAAGCACCGGCUAACUCCGUGCCAGCAGCCGCGAUAAUACGGAGGGUGCGAGCGUUAAUCGGAAUAACUGGGCGUAAAGGGCACGCAGGCGGUGACUUAAGUGAGGUGUGAAAGCCCUGGGCUUAACCUAGGAAUUGCAUUUCAUACUGGGUCGCUAGAGUAUUUUAGGGAGGGGUAGAAUUCCACGUGUAGCGGUGAAAUGCGUAGAGAUGUGGAGGAAUACCGAAGCGAAGGCAGCCCCUUGGGAAUAUACUGACGCUCAUGUGCGAAAGCGUGGGGAGCAAACAGG